Fukomys damarensis (Damara mole-rat) is the source of this 516-nucleotide long non-coding RNA. RefSeq lists it as uncharacterized. The record is from RefSeq and is a predicted model, not a curated record. The transcript has 4 exons. NCBI's taxonomy places the organism in Eukaryota, Metazoa, Chordata, Mammalia, Rodentia, Bathyergidae.
CGACUCUGCCAUUUCCCUCCAGGGAAAACUUGACAUGCCUGAGAUCCCUGCUUCCUUGCCUUUAUUGUGCUUGGCAAAACUGGCCUUGUGUUCACACAGUGAGGUGGAAAGGACAUGGUGUUUUCCUGAGAUACCGGCAGCCAGACAUAAGAACGCACAUGAGAUUAAAAGCAGCUGUCCAGAAAGUUCCUGAGGACAACCUGCUUCAAAACUUCAGACUGAGAUUGUGAGGGGUUCUUCUGACCAGCACAUGCCCAGUUCUUCUAAGAUUUACAUAUGUCCAUUAACUGGAAACACAAGACAAAACGAAGGGUGCCUCUGGGAUUAAAGGACAACAUGUAACAAGGUCUCCAAUUUGAAGCCAACAAGCCUCAGAAUGCUGCACCUAAAGAAAAAAGUUCAGCGGCCAAGUGUUUCAAAUGCACACACAAAUAUGAAAGAAGGAAGUAGCAAGAGAGAGAAAGAGAAGCGAAACCAAGGACCCUACCCCAUGUUGUACUGCACGUCUAAAGUCCA